CAAUGGUCCCCUCGCGACAGUCGGCUAUGAAUCCCGCCAGGCCCGGAAGGGAGCAACGGUAGUAGUGACAUUAUGUGCCGGGGUGUAGCUGGCAGGG
RNAcentral lists this signal recognition particle RNA (97 nucleotides) under Porticoccaceae bacterium. RNAcentral's name for it is "signal recognition particle sRNA small type". It matches the Rfam family "Bacterial small signal recognition particle RNA". From Rfam's summary of the family: The signal recognition particle (SRP) is a universally conserved ribonucleoprotein involved in the co-translational targeting of proteins to membranes. Archaeal SRP consists of a 7S RNA and homologues of the eukaryotic SRP19 and SRP54 proteins. Lineage: Bacteria; Pseudomonadati; Pseudomonadota; Gammaproteobacteria; Cellvibrionales; Porticoccaceae. The record is from RNAcentral.